UCCCUAGCAGUCCAGUGGUUGGGACUCUGAGCUUCCAAUGCAGGGCACACAGGUUUGAUCCCUGGCUGGGGAA
Molecule: transfer RNA, 73 nt
Filed under: Bos taurus (domestic cattle)
Lineage: Eukaryota; Metazoa; Chordata; Mammalia; Artiodactyla; Bovidae
Also listed under: 1 other name
Rfam family: tRNA
About the family: Transfer RNA (tRNA) molecules are approximately 80 nucleotides in length. Their secondary structure includes four short double-helical elements and three loops (D, anti-codon, and T loops).
Source: Rfam by way of RNAcentral